Molecule: ribosomal RNA, 356 nt
Filed under: uncultured soil bacterium
Lineage: Bacteria
Description: bacterial SSU rRNA
Rfam family: Bacterial small subunit ribosomal RNA
Source: RNAcentral
AGAGUGAACGCUGGCGGUAGGCCUAACACAUGCAAGUCGAACGGCAGCACAGUGGUAGCAAUACCAUGGGUGGCGAGUGGCGGACGGGUGAGGAAUACAUCGGAAUCUACCUUUUCGUGGGGGAUAACGUAGGGAAACUUACGCUAAUACCGCAUACGCCCUUCGGGGGAAAGCCGGGGAUCGCAAGACCUGGCGCGGAUAGAUGAGCCGAUGUCGGAUUAGCUAGUUGGUGAGGUAAUGGCUCACCAAGGCGACGAUCCGUAGCUGGUCUGAGAGGAUGAUCAGCCACACUGGAACUGAGACACGGUCCAGACUCCUACGGGAGGCAGCAGUGGGGAAUAUUGGACAAGUGGGCG